GGCAGCGGUGGGUCGGCAGGCGCGAGUAGACGGAGGGUGUCAUAGUUUAGUGGAAUGACUGUGAGUAAAGCGUGCUCAGGGGGCGUAUUAAGGCAGAAGUGAAUUCCCUAUGCUCAACCUAGGAACUGCAUUUGAAACUAAUGAACUAGAGUAUCGUAGAGGGAGUUAGACUUCCAGGUGUAGCGGUGAAAUGCGUAGAUAUCUGGAGGAAUACCAGUGGCGAAGGCGACCUCCUGGACGAAAACUGACGCUCAAGCACGAAAGCAUGGGGAGCAAACAGGAUUAGAUACCCCGGUAGUC
This 300-nucleotide ribosomal RNA is filed under the name uncultured Desulfovibrio sp. RNAcentral's name for it is "bacterial SSU rRNA". It matches the Rfam family "Bacterial small subunit ribosomal RNA", at positions 496 to 795 of the family's 1533-position model. Lineage: Bacteria; Pseudomonadati; Thermodesulfobacteriota; Desulfovibrionia; Desulfovibrionales; Desulfovibrionaceae. The record is from RNAcentral.